This 777-nucleotide ribosomal RNA is filed under the name uncultured Neocallimastigales. RNAcentral describes it as "partial large subunit ribosomal RNA". It matches the Rfam family "Eukaryotic large subunit ribosomal RNA", at positions 24 to 614 of the family's 3401-position model. The record is from RNAcentral. Lineage: Eukaryota; Fungi; Neocallimastigomycota; Neocallimastigomycetes; Neocallimastigales.
UAUCUCUGUAGAGUCUGCAUAUCAAUAAGCGGAGGAAAAGGAACUAACAAGGAUUCCCUUAGUAACGGCGAGUGAAGCGGGAAGAGCUCAAAUUUGAAAUCUUCAAGGUUCUACCUUGACGAAUUGUAGUUUAUAGAAGUGUUUUCUGUUAGUGGAGUGGCAAAAGUUCUUUGGAAUAGGACAUCAUAGAGGGUGAGAAUCCCGUAUUUGGAUCCAUUAUUUCCUAGCGUUGUGAUACACUUUCAAAGAGUCGGAUUGUUUGGGAAUGCAGUCCAAAAUGGGUGGUAAAUUUCAUCUAAAGCUAAAUAUUGGCGAGAGACCGAUAGCGAACAAGUACCGUGAGGGAAAGAUGAAAAGAACUUUGAAAAGAGAGUUAAACAGUACGUGAAAUUGUCAAAAGGGAAGCGUUUGACACCAGUGUUGUCUUCUCGAAAAUCAAUUAAAAAUGGCGGGAUUUUGUGUUGUAUUGACUUCAUCAGCUUUCUGCACUUUUUCCCUGUCUUUUUUAAUGCACUUUUCGUUUAACAAGUCAACAUCAAUUUCUUUUGUUGUAAAAGGGUCAUUGGAAGGUGGCUUUCUUUUCGGAGAAAGUGUUUAUAGCCUUUGGCCUCUGCAAUCGGAGAGAUUGAGGUCUGCAGCGUAGAUCCUUCGGGGUUAGAUACAUUUGUGCUAAGUUAUAGCCUUUCAUAGACAACUUGUUGACUAUGAUCAGUCAUGUAGCUUACUCGCUUAUGCUAUUUUACCUACGCUUAGGAUGUUGAGUCAUCACACAUCUCU